GAUAAGAAACUACACCUCAGAGCACAGGGCCUCAACCUCAGAGCAGCCAGCUCGCUGUUUAGGAAAAGAAGGGAAGCCGAGCAGCUUGGCCUGAGACAAAGUUAGUUUAGAUGUUCAGCAAUCACACAACACAAAAGUACAAUGGCCGUUUUGGAAUGUCAAUGCUCCCAAAGUCUUAUCUUUACAAUCAUGUAAUGUAUCUACUUACAUAUGAUUCUUAAUGAUUUCAUUUGGCAGCUGUGGUGAUGGGAUAAAUUUAUUAAAAGACAAAUUUUUUUUGUCAUAGUUUUACCAUAAUUUUGUUUCUCUGUCAUUUUUAUGUAGCAAAAAUUUUGGGAAUUAGCGAUAGCCUUCUGGUGGAGCAAGCUGGUUCUCAAAGGGCAGAUAUACUACUCUAGUUUAAGAUGUGAUCGAAGUUAACUCCCAGCAUGAAUCCAGAAAAGAAGCUGACCCACAAGCUACUCUCUCUAGGGUCAUUCAUAUUCCAACAGAGUGCUGACCCCUCUGGCCUCUGAAUUGUAGUUGAGGAGACCUCUCACGCUGCUGACAUACAAUUGCCUCCGAAAUGCAUUAUUUUACUGGCCACUUCUCCAUUCUCUUGUCCCAUCCAUUGUUUUCUUUUUCUCUUUUUUUUUCCCCUUUAUUUGUUAUUAAUUAGUGCUCUUUCUGGUUUAUAAUUAUUAUUAGGAUUUGGGUCAUGACUUAUAAUCUGGUAAAUUAACGCAAAAAUAAAUAACAAAAUAAUGGAGUCAAGUAGGUCAUUAGAUGAAUUUUGUAUGGAUCUUAGUUACAUUUCGGAGACCCUUAUUAUUAACUCAUCUAUCCUUACUCUCCAUCUCCAAUCUUUGUGCCAUAACUGCACAUGCAUUGGAGAAGAUUCAAGCAAUUGAUUAGAAGUCUAGUCCCAGUUAUACACUUCACCUUCAAAUUCAAUAAGAAUAGAGAAGCCACCGCAAAUUUCUGAGCAAUAAUCUCACCAUCCAACCGAUUAGUCAUUGCUUUUACUCCUCAAGCACCUCGUCCUCCACCUCUUCUUAAGUAGUCUUUAAAUAAAAGGUUUAUAUAAUUACUUACACACAAUAAUACUGCUAAUAAAACACAAAAAUAACGAGC
Molecule: long non-coding RNA, 1113 nt
Filed under: Citrus x clementina
Lineage: Eukaryota; Viridiplantae; Streptophyta; Magnoliopsida; Sapindales; Rutaceae
Description: Citrus clementina (C. clementina) long non-coding RNA (CCLE_LNC005763)
Source: RNAcentral